RNAcentral lists this ribosomal RNA (622 nucleotides) under Trichoderma virens. RNAcentral describes it as "eukaryotic LSU rRNA". The stretch from base 239 to 392 matches the Rfam family "5.8S ribosomal RNA". Lineage: Eukaryota; Fungi; Ascomycota; Sordariomycetes; Hypocreales; Hypocreaceae. The record is from RNAcentral.
GCUUUAGGUCUCGUUGGUGACCAGCGGAGGGAUCAUUACCGAGUUUACAACUCCCAAACCCAAUGUGAACGUUACCAAACUGUUGCCUCGGCGGGAUCUCUGCCCCGGGUGCGUCGCAGCCCCGGACCAAGGCGCCCGCCGGAGGACCAACCAAAACUCUUAUUGUAUACCCCCUCGCGGGUUUUUUACUAUCUGAGCCAUCUCGGCGCCCCUCGUGGGCGUUUCGAAAAUGAAUCAAAACUUUCAACAACGGAUCUCUUGGUUCUGGCAUCGAUGAAGAACGCAGCGAAAUGCGAUAAGUAAUGUGAAUUGCAGAAUUCAGUGAAUCAUCGAAUCUUUGAACGCACAUUGCGCCCGCCAGUAUUCUGGCGGGCAUGCCUGUCCGAGCGUCAUUUCAACCCUCGAACCCCUCCGGGGGGUCGGCGUUGGGGAUCGGCCCUUUACGGGGCCGGCCCCGAAAUACAGUGGCGGUCUCGCCGCAGCCUCUCCUGCGCAGUAGUUUGCACACUCGCAUCGGGAGCGCGGCGCGUCCACAGCCGUUAAACACCCCAAACUUCUGAAAUGUUGACCUCGGAUCAGGUAGGAAUACCCGCUGAACUUAAGCAUAUCAAUAAGCGGAGGA